Octopus sinensis (East Asian common octopus) is the source of this 940-nucleotide long non-coding RNA. RefSeq lists it as uncharacterized. The transcript has 2 exons. The record is from RefSeq and is a predicted model, not a curated record. NCBI's taxonomy places the organism in Eukaryota, Metazoa, Mollusca, Cephalopoda, Octopoda, Octopodidae.
CUCUCAUUACUUCAAAAGUUCCCGCAAGCCCAUAUGUAAAAAAAAAAGAAGUUUUUUUACGGAAAUCGACGGAAAGGUCUACUAGAGACGAAAGAUUGCCGUAUUAUUAAAAGAGAAAAGAGGCAUGGUCAUGCCUUACCCAAAUGACCUUAUCUUAUCACCCAUCUCUUGUUAUGCGCUCGUAAAUUAGUUGAGCUCUGAGUGACUGUAUGCAAAUGAGUUCAUAUCUGGGGUCCGGAUCUCGCGUGGGAAAAAAAAAAUUCAUGCAUGGGACACUCACACAUACAUCCACAGCAGAUGAAAGAUGAAGAGUUAAUUAAACUUAGCAGACUUAAUUAUUUUAGGACCGGAGAGACGCAUGCGCAUUGAACUUACUUCCAGCUUCCUCUCGAUAUCCAAUUAAUUGUCCCGUGCAUGAAUUUCUCUUAAUUAGCUGUAAAUCCAAUUAUGAUAUCUAUAAUACGUACUUAUACCGCAUUCUCAACCACCAGAUGCACACAUAUAUAACCACACUAUCCUUUAAGAAACAUUUCCAACAUCAGAUGACAUUGACAUAACAGAAGAAGCAUCCUUAAUCUCUACUAUAUUUUAAAGACUAAAGGAAACUAUUAUACGAAACAUAUGUAUCAGAUUGUUUCUACAAAUCAGUCAUAGAAUCCCUGUGAAGUAUUUGCUCUGAAAUAAUAUCAUUAGCCAAGUUUCUGGACAUCCCUGACUGGAGUGUCAAGAAGAGGAGCCUGUGUACUAAUUAAAGUUGGAUUUAAUUAAUGAAAGUGUUGCUAAAGAAGGGUAACAACUGGACAGAAAUACAGCAGAAGAAGUGUUUGUAAGAAAUAAAGUACAAGAAGAAAAGGAAGGAAAAUGUAUAAACUUGGAUUUGAGAGGAAAAGUAAUGGAAAAGAGUGAGAAAAUUAUAGAAUUGAUUUCCUCUCAACACAUG